CGCGGCCUAUCAGCUUGUUGGUGGGGUAAUGGCCUACCAAGGCGACGACGGGUAGCCGGCAUGAGAGGGCGUCCGGCCACACUGGGACUGAGACACGGCCCAGACUCCUACGGGAGGCAGUAGUGGGGAAUAUUGCACAAUGGGCGAAAGCCUGAUGCAGCGACGCCGCGCGAGGGAUGACGGCCUUCGGGUUGUAAACCUCUUUCAGCAGGGAAGAAGCGAAAGUGACGGUACCUGCAGAAGAAGCGCCGGCUAACUACGUGCCAGCAGCCGCGGUAAUACGUAGGGCGCAAGCGUUGUCCGGAAUUAUUGGGCGUAAAGAGCUCGUAGGCGGCUUGUCACGUCGGAUGUGAAAGCCCGAGGCUUAACCUCGGGUCUGCAUUCGAUACGGGCUAGCUAGGGUGUGGUAGGGGAGAUCGGAAUUCCUGGUGUAGCGGUGAAAUGCGCAGAUAUCAGGAGGAACACCGGUGGCGAAGGCGGAUCUCUGGGCCAUUACUGACGCUGAGGAGCGAAAGCGUGGGGAGCGAACAGGGUUAGAUACCCUGGUAGUCCACGCCGUAAACGUUGGGCGCUAGGUGUGGGGUCCUUUUCUGGGUUCCGUGCCGUAGCUAACGCAUUAAGCGCCCCGCCUGGGGAGUACGG
RNAcentral lists this ribosomal RNA (642 nucleotides) under uncultured Actinomycetes bacterium. RNAcentral describes it as "bacterial SSU rRNA". It matches the Rfam family "Bacterial small subunit ribosomal RNA", at positions 232 to 885 of the family's 1533-position model. Lineage: Bacteria; Bacillati; Actinomycetota; Actinomycetes. The record is from RNAcentral.